Molecule: transfer RNA, 72 nt
Filed under: Pangasianodon hypophthalmus (striped catfish)
Lineage: Eukaryota; Metazoa; Chordata; Actinopteri; Siluriformes; Pangasiidae
Description: tRNA-Glu
Source: RNAcentral
UCCCUGGAGGAUUAGUGGUUAGGCCUAGGAGCUCUCGCCACCGUGACCUGGGUUUGAUUCCUGGCCAGAGAA